RNAcentral lists this transfer RNA (52 nucleotides) under Sexangularia sp. CB-2014. RNAcentral describes it as "partial Selenocysteine transfer RNA". Lineage: Eukaryota; Tubulinea; Elardia; Arcellinida. The record is from RNAcentral.
GUCGGAGAAUGGCGAGUGGGUCUACCUCGCCGCGCACAAUGGAACCACCUUC